GCCAGCAGCCGCGGUAAUACGUAGGGUGCAAGCGUUGUCCGGAAUUAUUGGGCGUAAAGAGCUCGUAGGCGGUUUGUCGCGUCUGCUGUGAAAUUUCGAGGCUCAACCUCGAACUUGCAGUGGGUACGGGCAGGCUAGAGUGCAGUAGGGGAGAUGGGAAUUCCUGGUGUAGCGGUGGAAUGCGCAGAUAUCAGGAGGAACACCAAUGGCGAAGGCACAUCUCUGGGCUGUAACUGACGCUGAGGAGCGAAAGCGUGGGGAGCGAACAGGAUUAGAUACCCUGGUAGUCCACGCCGUAAACGGUGGGUGCUAGCUGUGGGCCACAUUCCACGUGGUCCGUGACGAAGUUAACACAUUAAGCACCCCGCCUGGGGAGUACGGCCGCAAGGCUAAAACUCAAAGGAAUUGACGGGGGCCCGCACAAGCGGCGGAGCAUGCGGAUUAAUUCGACGCAACGCGAAGAACCUUACCAAGGCUUGACAUAUACAGGAAAAGCGUAGAAAUACGCUCCCCGCAAGGUCUGUAUACAGGUGGUGCAUGGUUGUCGUCAGCUCGUGCCGUGAGAUGUUGGGUUAAGUCCCGCAACGAGCGCAACCCUCGUCCUAUGUUGCCAGCACGUAAUGGUGGGAACUCAUGGGAUACUGCCGGGGUCAACUCGGAGGAAGGUGGGGAUGACGUCAAAUCAUCAUGCCCCUUAUGUCUUGGGCUUCACGCAUGCUACAAUGGCCGGUACAGAGGGCUGCAAUACCGUAAGGUGGAGCGAAUCCCAAAAAGCCGGUCUCAGUUCGGAUUGAGGUCUGCAACUCGACCUCAUGAAGUCGGAGUCGCUAGUAAUC
RNAcentral lists this ribosomal RNA (836 nucleotides) under uncultured marine bacterium. Its description in RNAcentral is "bacterial SSU rRNA". It matches the Rfam family "Bacterial small subunit ribosomal RNA", at positions 507 to 1343 of the family's 1533-position model. The record is from RNAcentral.